Molecule: non-coding RNA, 291 nt
Organism: Alosa alosa (allis shad)
Lineage: Eukaryota; Metazoa; Chordata; Actinopteri; Clupeiformes; Clupeidae
Source: the annotation of a RefSeq genome assembly
AUGGACAUGUUAACUGCCUUCCUCUUCAUAGCAAUAUCCAUCACAGAAUCCAGUGGUCAGACACUGACUGAGUCUGAGUCAGUGGUUCUUAAACCUGGAAACUCCCACAAACUGACCUGCACAUACUCUGGGUUCAGCAGCGAUCCUAACAUGGCUUGGGGAAGAUUCACCAUCUCUAGAGACAACAGCAAGAAGCAGGUGUAUCUGCAGAUGAACAGCCUGAAGACCGAGGACACGGCUGUGUAUUACUGUGCCAGACAGUCACAGUGGCACAAUAUGCUGCAGAGAUGA